This 61-nucleotide microRNA precursor is filed under the name Bombyx mori (domestic silkworm). Its description in RNAcentral is "mir-2807 microRNA precursor family". It matches the Rfam family "mir-2807 microRNA precursor family". Lineage: Eukaryota; Metazoa; Arthropoda; Insecta; Lepidoptera; Bombycidae. The record is from Rfam by way of RNAcentral.
UUAACUCAAAUUUGUAUUGAGUUGGAACGUUGCCGUUCCAAAGGCAUACAAAUUUGAGUUA